RNAcentral lists this transfer RNA (74 nucleotides) under Danionella translucida. It matches the Rfam family "tRNA". From Rfam's summary of the family: Transfer RNA (tRNA) molecules are approximately 80 nucleotides in length. Lineage: Eukaryota; Metazoa; Chordata; Actinopteri; Cypriniformes; Danionidae. RNAcentral also lists the same sequence under 1 other name. The record is from Rfam by way of RNAcentral.
GGCCUGUUAGCUCAGCUGGUUAGAGCGUGGUGCUAAUAACGCCAAGGUCGUGGGUUCGAUCUCCACAUGGGCCA